This is a long non-coding RNA of Triplophysa rosa, 1969 nucleotides long. RefSeq lists it as uncharacterized. The record is from RefSeq and is a predicted model, not a curated record. The transcript is spliced from 3 exons. NCBI's taxonomy places the organism in Eukaryota, Metazoa, Chordata, Actinopteri, Cypriniformes, Nemacheilidae.
AUUGACAGUUAAAUGACUGUAUAUUUUAACGGACAUUUUCCGUACAACACGUGUUACGGGUGUUUUUCCGUUUAUAUACAUUUUCGAAUUGCAUUAUGGGACUGUGAUCGCGCCUCCGACAACUUUUGAUGGUCAUGGACGUAUAAGCACAGCCGUAACACAACAUUUUACCCAAGUUUUUACACUGUUUAUUUGUCAGUAUUUUUAACCUGCUUGGUGCGCGCCCGGGAAGUAACGUCCCAUCCCCCGCUGCACUGUGUGACAGACACGGUGAACUUCAUCUCCGCUCUGUGUGUAAACGGUAUGUUUUUAAUGGAAAUAUAAAAUUACUGUUUUCUUUGUACUGUACAAUUAACAAGGGCUAGCAUUCAAAGGUAGGUUAGUGAUAUUGUAUAGUUUGGUUGACAGUUAUCGUGGUGUAUUUCAAAUGAAUUUACAAUGAAUGCUAUUUUAAACUUAGCAUUUGGCCGUCUGUGUUUCUGUUUGCAUAUUAAUAACUUAUUUUAUAUUAUAUGUAACGUUAUAUGUAUCUAUACAGUAGACACUGUGUAACGCUAUAUGGGGAAUAUACACACAUGUAAAGUUAAUAUACAUCCAGACGGUUGUAACAAAAAACCUGACAGGAUGAUGAUCAGACAUCGACGCGAAGCGGGGGCGAGUGGGUUUUUUUAUGCAACAACCACCGCAGGUAAGUUUACUUACUUUAGUAAGGUUACGGUUAUCCCGCUUAGACUGAUUUCACGCCACCGCCAUGUUGAAAUCGAAAGCGAGGCAGAGGUGGGAAGAAAAUCGGAAAGACCGAUAUACUGAAGUGGUUUGUACAACCAACCUAAAAUCUUAAAUGUGACAAUAUAAGCAUAGGAUGCAUGUCACACGAACUGUUUUACUUGACCACUUAGCCGUACCAUCACAUAUUAGUGACUGUUUAAACUGCCAUAAACGGGUUUCAUUCACGCGCACAUUUACUGUAACGUUUUUUUAAAGUAAACGCAUCAUUUGUUUAUUCAUGUCACAGACACCCGAUGGUAACGUUAGUCCAAACCAUUGCAGUCUAUCUGUCCUUACGGUUUUCUUCCCACCUCUGCCUUGUUUUCCAUUUCAAAAUGGCAGCGGAGUGAAAUCAGUCUAUUAGACAGCUACUUGCCAUAUCAUGAGUGAGAACUUAUUUUUCUUUCUACUGUCUUACUGAUAGUUCUUUUCUAAAGGAGAAGAGGAGACCACUACCAAAGACAGAAGACAUGAUCAGGAUCAGCAUUGAAGACUUGCUACUGACACCAGACACACACACGCACACUUUCUGCAUCUCUAACACACUCACACACACUUUCUGUAUCUCUAACGCACACACACACACUUUCUGCAUCUCUAACAUUUUAAAGUUUAUUUAAUUUUUCCAAGCCAAGUAAGGUGAUACAUUUUUGUUGUGUUUAGAACAGGAGCCUGCAGCAAAAAAGGGCGCCAAGCAGUAUAACAUACCACCUAAACUCCUUCGAUCCCUGUCAGACCUGAAUGACUUUCAGAAUCCUUGGAAGAUUUAAAGCCAUAUAAAUACCAGUUAUGGAGAGAAAGAAGACGAAAGACGUGGAUGUGAUAUUGCAACAUAUCCUGCAUGUUCAUCAAUGUAAAAUGGAAUUGUAACUAUAGUAGUUGAAGGUUAAGUGUUUUUAACUUUUCAUUUGUAUGCCUUUUCAGUGGUUCAGUCCUGGUUUAGGUCUGGAAUUACAUUGCAUCUCAAAGUUGACUGUUGAAGAUGUUCCCAGUUUUCUUGCCAUCUUGGAGUUAACUUGGUUUCUUGAAAUGUAUUUGUAAUUUGCCCACUUGUCUUACACAUGCACCUUAAAGUAAAAUUUUACAGUAUGUUUUUCUAUUUUAGUCAUUAUUACUUAUUUAGUGAUUAUUUGUAAUUACAAAUUAUUUGUAUUCAUUAAAGAAUCUGUUUUUAUUACAAAGUUGUUGUUGUUUUUAAUAA